Molecule: long non-coding RNA, 1192 nt
Filed under: Rhinopithecus bieti (black snub-nosed monkey)
Lineage: Eukaryota; Metazoa; Chordata; Mammalia; Primates; Cercopithecidae
Description: lncRNA (ENSRBIG00000046031.1)
Source: RNAcentral
CCUGCCUCAGCCUCCCGAGUAGCUGGGAUUACAGGCGCCCGCCACCUCGCCCGGCUAGUUUUUUGUAUUUUUUAGUAGAGACGGGGUUUCACAGUGUUAGCCAGCAUGGUCUCGAUCUCCUGACCUCGUGAUCUACCCGUCUCGGCCUCCCAAAGUGCUGGGAUUACAGGCUUGAGCCACCGCGCCCGGCCAUUUUUUUGUAUUUUUAGUAGAGACAGGGUUUCACCAUGUUAGCCAGGAUGGUCUCGAUCUCCUGACCUUGGGUGAUCCACCUGCUUCAGCCUCCCAAAGUGCUGGGAUUACAGGCAUGAGCCACCACCCUGGUCUUAUUUAUCUUUUAAAGAAUAUAGUGACUCAGGCAAGAGACGUAGGGGGGUUUGUCUUUAAAGCAUCUUUCUGGAGAGCUGCAUGUUGUCAUAGAAUCAGGGGCUUGUGAAAUGAUGCUGGCAUGCAGAAAUGAGAAACAUGGCUUCUUAAAUUUGUUACUUUGUCUUAUAUGACCCAUGCUACCCCUUCAGAGGACCAGAUCUGGGAAGAAGCUAACAGUAUGCAGUAUGCCACCUCUCCAUGUGUUGUGUAAAACCUUGAUGUGUAGUGUUUGUCUAUUUCCUAGUAUAAAUAUGGCCAAUGUCAAGCUACCAACAUGACAUCACUUAACCUGGAGUUAAGAUGCACACAGUCCGUUCUUGCAAGCCAGGAAGAGUCGGCUCCAGCACCCCACUCAGUGAGGCCAGCCCUGAGAACAGCAGAGCUGGGAGCGAAAAGCACCUGCACACAGAUCUGCACCACGGAUCUGCCUCCACGUGGGCAGCUUUCUGUUACUUGGGGCCAAAUGCAUCCCACACCCUGGAGGACUGCACGGCAAGAAGAGAAGAAAACCCAGGAGCAGCCCAGAGGAACGGACAGGAUUUAUGCAGCAGGCAGAGGAAGAGGAGGCCGUGAGCUCAGCUGCCACAGUACUGUGGUGAUGCCAAGGAGAUCCUGACUAAUGCACUAAGGCCUAGGGCUGCAUGCCGAGGACUCAGGAAGUCUCUCGAAGAAUCAUCCUCUGCACACAAGAACACUGCUAUCCGCCAAAGCUGAUGUCAGCUAUUCCCUGCAGCCUGGCCUGGUCCAGCAGAGACAGCUCUGCUAAACUACCAAAGACAGGAAGAAAAUGAGCCACAUUUGUUUCUCAUAAAAUAUAUAUGCU